This 339-nucleotide ribosomal RNA is filed under the name uncultured bacterium. Its description in RNAcentral is "bacterial SSU rRNA". It matches the Rfam family "Bacterial small subunit ribosomal RNA", at positions 8 to 349 of the family's 1533-position model. The record is from RNAcentral.
AGAGUUUGAUCAUGGCUCAGGAUGAACGCUAGCUACAGGCUUAACACAUGCAAGUCGAGGGGCAGCAUGUUGGUUGCUUGCAACCAAUGAUGGCGACCGGCGCACGGGUGAGUAACGCGUAUCCAACCUACCCUUGUCCAUCGGAUAACCCGUCGAAAGGCGGCCUAACACGAUAUGCGGUUCUCAGCAGGCAUCUAACGAGAACGAAAUGUGAAGGAGAAGGAUGGGGAUGCGUCUGAUUAGCUUGUUGGCGGGUAACGCCACAAGGCACGAUCAGUAGGGUUCUGAGAGGAGGUCCCCACAUUGGAACUGAGACACGGUCCAACUCCUACGGGAGCA